GAUGAACGCUGGCGGCGUGCCUCAAACAUGCAAGUCGAGCGGGGCUAUGUAAUAUCGCAAGGUAGAACAUAGCCUAGCGGCGAACGGGUGAGUAACACGUGGGUAACCUGCCUGGAAGACAGGGAUAACGAUUCGAAAGGGUCGCUAAUACCUGAUAAUAUCCUUUCAUCGCAUGGUGAUAGGAAGAAAGGGGAAACCCGCUUUCAGAUGGGCCCGCGUCCCAUCAGCUAGCUGGUAAGGUAAAGGCUUACCAAGGCGACGACGGGUAGCCGGUCUGAGAGGAUGUACGGCCACACUGGGACUGAGAUACGGCCCAGACUCCUACGGGAGGCAGCAGUUGGGAAUCUUAGGCAAUGGACGAAAGUCUGACCUAGCGACGCCGCGUGAGGGAAGAAGGCCUUCGGGUUGUAAACCUCUGUCAUGGGGGAAGAAGUAAGUGACGGUACCCCAAGAGGAAGCCCCUGCUAACUACGUGCCAGCAGCCGCGGAAAGCUACGUAGA
RNAcentral lists this ribosomal RNA (501 nucleotides) under uncultured bacterium. Its description in RNAcentral is "bacterial SSU rRNA". It matches the Rfam family "Bacterial small subunit ribosomal RNA", at positions 28 to 531 of the family's 1533-position model. The record is from RNAcentral.